RNAcentral lists this ribosomal RNA (786 nucleotides) under Elatonitor montanus. Its description in RNAcentral is "partial large subunit ribosomal RNA". The stretch from base 434 to 568 matches the Rfam family "Archaeal large subunit ribosomal RNA", at positions 1893 to 2080 of the family's 2987-position model. The record is from RNAcentral. Lineage: Eukaryota; Metazoa; Mollusca; Gastropoda; Stylommatophora; Helicarionidae.
AAUUACUAAUCAUAUACUGCAAAGAAAUUUAUUUUAGUUUAUUUUUAUACCUUUUGCAUAAUGGUUUAAUUAUAAAUAAUUAAAAUUUAUAUUCCCGAAAUUAGAAGAUCUAAUUUUAUUAUUUUUUUAGAAAUAUUAAUGUUUCAAAAUUAUUUUUAAAUAUAAUUAGGGGUGAAAGGCUUAUCAAUUCUAAUGAUAUCUGGAAUAAUUUUAAAUGUAUUUAGUACAGAAUAUAUUUGAAUAAAAAAAUGUUAAGAUUUUUUUAAGUAGAAUAUAAAUUAUAAUUAUGGACUAAUCUUCCAAUACCUUAUUAAAAAUAAAUUUAUUAUUUAUGUAUCUUAUAUAAAAUUAUAUAUUAAUUUUUUAAAUAUUAAUUAUGUUAAAAUUAGUAUAAUAUUUUUAUUAAUUUAAGGAACUCGGCUAACUAUUCACCUGUUUAUCAAAAACAUAGUCUUAUGAUAUAAGGUGAAACCUGCCCAGUGAAUAUUUUUAACGGCCGCAGUACCUUGACUGUGCUAAGGUAGCAUAAUAAAUUGACUCUUAAUUGGGGCCUUGAAUGAAAGGAUAAGUAGUUUCUGUCUCUAUUAACUUAUUACAAGUUACUUAGAAGGUGAAAAUUCCUUCAUUUUUUUAAAUAGACGAGAAGACCCUAGGAGUUUUAAUUUUGUUGGGGCGACAAUAUAGCAUAACCUAUAUAUAAAAUAAUAUAACGAAUAAUUUUAAUAAUAAUUUAACUACCCUAGGGAUAACAGCAUAAUUUAUUAAGUUUGUGACCUCGAUGUUGGA